This is a long non-coding RNA of Haplochromis burtoni (Burton's mouthbrooder), 7513 nucleotides long. RefSeq lists it as uncharacterized. The record is from RefSeq and is a predicted model, not a curated record. The transcript is spliced from 2 exons. Lineage: Eukaryota; Metazoa; Chordata; Actinopteri; Cichliformes; Cichlidae.
GAGCUGUAGGACGACUUGGCUGACGCAGCAGUGGCGGGUGCACAGUUACACUGAGCAGCACAAACAGGUUCUACGUGAAGAGUCAUUAUAAGGAAACCUUACCUGCAACCUCAUCCCAAAAGUCACCAUCCAAACUUUGCAAAGCAACAUCUGGAAAAGCCAGAUUCAGUUUGGGAACAAUUGCGGUUGACAGGUAAAGUUAAAACUAAGCCUUAGGGGCACAAUCACAAAACCUUUUCAUACAGCAGGAUUAGUGGUGUUUAGAUUUUUCUGUUUAUUUUCAACAAAUAAAGACAGAGUACGUGUUUAUCUGGAAUGUCCUGAUAAAAUGAUUUGGAGGACAAAUGCGAAACAUUUUCUAUUUUCAACAUAAGAAUGGUGGAGAUUUGCUGAUAUUUCAUUCUUUGAUUAGUGAGUCCUGAUUGUUAACGGAGCUUAAUCGGUAGAUGAAAUGGUAAUUAUUAGUUGCAGCAUUGGAAUUGUUCUUACAGUGAAAAUAUGAGCACUGCAAAGUUAAAUCACAAUAAUGCUGACAGGAGCUUGCAUGCUGAAAACUGUAAAUGUCCUCUUCGAGUAAAAGGGUGCUUAGAGGUAAAAUUGAAGGAAUUGAUCAGUGUAGCAAAAAAAAAAAAAAAUCAUUAGAUUGCUUAACAGUUGGCAAAAAACCCCAUCCGUGCCAAGACUGUAAUGGUAGAAGCGACAGGACAAAUGGGGCUGCAGAGAUCAUGCGAAAGCACGCACUCGGAUGAGCAAGGGGAAGAGAUGAGUGCAGGCCAUGCUGUUGGAGGUAAAUGUAUGUUGGCAGUAGCUAAAGGGAGGGAAAGAGUGAGAGCACAAUGGUGAGCGAAAGAGAGGAGCCUGUUACUGAACCAUCAGUGGCUGUAAUGAGACACAGGUGCAGCGCAUGGAACCAUAUCCCUUAACAGCGAGGAGGAUGGGAAGGCUGCGUGUAAGUCAAGGAUGCUGUAGAGCUGCAAGACGGAAGACUCAAUGCAGCAUUUCACUUUGAUGGAACAUUAUUACUUAUUAGCAUGCGCAUCCCCCACAGGAGUAUGCGAACAAUCGCCCGAAAACAGUAGACACCCCGGGGACGUGUCGUUACUCAGGGCGCCCAGGCUUCUUCUGACUCUCCGUUCAUUUGCAUCUAUUUUUUAAGCGCCUAGUUAAAAAAUUAUAAGUGCAAGAAAUUAAAAACAAGCAUGACAUGCAGCCGCCACACAGAAUUAAUUCUGGGUCUUUGUUUGUAGUUCAUCGACUCUGAUCAUUUCAUUUAGACUUGGGUUUUCAAACAUAUGCUAAUGAAUGGGAAGCCAGGAAAAGCCAGAGCUUUGCAACACUGCAGCUGAUUUCAGCACUUGAUUGUUAAUGAACUUAUAUUUGGGUUUGCAUGCUAAAAACAGAAAACGUUGGAUUAGCUGGAAAAGCUGCUUUGAAAAUUGGUUUGCAGAGAGGAUGCAAUGAGAAAUGGGGGCUGAGGGGAGAACGUAAGGUGACAGAUUGAGAUAAGAGAGGAGUGGUGGAAGAGGAAAGAAGGGCACAAGCUGCAAAGGAAAAGGUGUUAAGAAAGUGUCAGGGGUAUUGAAUCAGAGGGGUGCUUGUGAGGAUGCGAGCGGCAGAAACGCACUCCCUGCUCCAGGCAAGGUGGGAUGGCUACUGUUGCUUCUGUGCUUGGUUUUCUUUUGCAACUUAAAGAUCAGUCUAAGGCACAAACCAGUUAGACAUGGAAAGGAAAGCAAAGGAGGAUGUUCUGCAGUAAACAAAUGUGUGCGGGCGUGCACGAUCUAGAGAGAGGGGAAAGUGAGAAUAAGAGCAGGUGCAGUCUGCAAUUUCAUGUGGAUGCAUAGUUUGUUUGAAUGGUAGACCUAAGAGGGGGUAAGAGAAUGGCCUUUGUAUUCAGCCAGUACUGAGUGAGUAAAUAUUUUGGAAGGGCAUGCUGUGUGGGUAGAUUGUUCUUUUAGGCAGCGGGGGUGACAACGAAACAGGGCAAGAUAAGAGGAAAGGAGAAGGCGAGCUAAAGGAAACUGUGAAGCAGCAGCUAUGUUUAUUUCGCCAUGCGGAGACGUGAACACAAACUGGGCUUUGUCCCGCGCCCAGGCUAACUUAAUGUUAGAGCUAGCUGUGAGACCUCAGAGAGAUGCAGAAACGGCUUUGCUCUUUCCCCUUCAUUUGCUGCCAAAUGACAUCGCUUACUCUGCUACGGGGUUGCCCUCGCUGCCAGUGGCUGCUAUCAUGAAUGAACAAUGUGCACUUCUCAGGGUCCCUACCUCUCCUCAGGGUGCUUCUCCACAGGCCGUAGGUGUACACUACAGGACACGAAGCUAGGCAUAAGAUGGUAUUCCUGCUGUGGCAGCCUUGUUAGAGCGAUGUUUGAUGUGUCUCAUUUUCUAACGUUGGAACAUGGUGUGAGUACAAAUAGAGAAGUGAAGCGCACGCAAACACACACAAUGCAAACACGGUCUGGUGUGACCUCCACAUGGCCCCUGUGGCGUUAUAUGUAUUUCUUUUCUUUUUUUUUUUUCUUUAGUGUAAGGGCAGGAUGGCUCUAAAGUGGGGAUGAGGGAUAGAGGGGUCAUUCAUUCACCUCGUGCACACGCACACACAUACACCUCCCUCACAGGCCUUUCAUCUUUACUCUCACAGGCAUCUCUUGUUCUGUCAGUCUUGCUGAAGAGAAAGAAGGCGAGGGGGAGAGAGGGAGGGAGACAGAGGAAGGAUGUCAGGGAAGGAGUGAGAAGGGUGGGUGAAGAAGGAGAAGGAAAAAGACAGCAAGUGAUUCGAGUUUCCUGUUCCAUGCAAAGCCAUCUACCGACCUGCCCCACCUUCUUCUGUCUGGGGAAAGAGUAAAGCGUGCUCAGCUUCUGCGCACAGUCAUCCUAGUUUCAUCUUCUUCCACCCUCCCUCUCUUUAAUUGUAUCCUUCGCAUCCUUCUCAUCCUCUUGUUGCUUGGCCAUAUCAACACCCACCCGCUCCCCCCGCACUCUUCCUGUGUCCAUCCCUCGCCUCCCCCCUGGGGCUUACCUCAGUGGGUUGGUUCCAGUCUGUCUGUUUGCUGAUGACUCCACUUGGAGCAGAUGUGAUGCUCGGCAGCUGUUUCUUUGCUCUGCAGUACCCUCCCUACCCCACACACCUCCUCUCUUCCCUCUUAUCUCCCCACACUCACAUCUCUCUGUCUCCCCCUCCAGUGUCUCUUAUGUUCCUAUUUAUCUACGUGUCUUUUUGUUCCGACGUUGCUCAAGCGUAAAUUGGCGAGUUUAAUUUUGCUUUCAGAUGUCUUUUUUUGUUUUUUCCUCCCCUCGUCUUCUCUGACCAGCCUUUCCAAUUUGCUUCACUUUCCAGCCUUCCUUGAUGCGGCUGUUAAUGUUCAAAGCACGUAAGGAUUUAAUGUCAUAACAAUAAGUCUGGAAUCUGCGUAUUUGUCUGCCACAUGAAUGCCAACUGUCGCACUGUAAUCAUGUGAAACAAAUGUUGGCCAUUGAUGGCAGCUCUGCAGAGGGUAGAGGGGAGAGUAUUGUUUCCUCUAUAAAUCUGUGGAAAUGAGAGAAAUGUGAAUGGCGAAGGUUUGUUUCUGUUUUUCAUUUCGCCAGCGACAUUGUGCUGUUCAAAGUCAGGCUCAGCGCUGGAAUUAGAAUUCUAUGUUUAGCUUAAGAUGUAUAGAGAUAAAAAUGGGACUUGGACACUUGAAGAGUGAUGGAGUGGGUUUUAUUUAGGCUGAGUCCCCUCAGUGGCCUGUGCUUCUUUGGAUAGACUUAUUAGAAUCUUUAUUAGCUCUCUCUGUGUUCAUCUGUUAUCUCUGUCUCUUUGCCUCUGCCUCAGUAAGGGGUUGGCUGGUGAACUGAGCAUCCUCUGACAGGGACCCUCUCAUCCGAUAUUAGAGAAGAAGCAAGAGGGGAGUUCUUGCCACUGUGAUGACUUAAGCCUGGAGAAAUCUGUUUCUGGAUGGGCGUGUGGUUGCAUCGGUGUGGCAGGGCGCGUUCGGGAGUGUGUGCAAAUACGUGCGUGUCACAUCUGUAAUUGGCUGCCUCUGAUCUUGUGGAAAUCUGGGCUCAGUGUGGCAGAUCCACCAGCUAAUCAACGCUCAGAGCUUGCGCACAGGAACGUCAACCUGUGCUUUACUCCAGAGGCUGGAAUGUCACCACGCUUGGGAUUUAAUCGCUCCAGAAAUCCCUUAAUGGGAAACGUUACAUGAAGCCUAAUUUGAGGAUGUUGAGAUAAAAUGUUGCUGUGUGUGUGUGUGAGAGAGAGAAAGCUUGUGACAGUAAGGAGGUAUGUGUGUGUGUUGUGUGCUCGACUGAAACUCUGAUAAAAGAUAUUGAGCGCCACUUUUCCCCCUCGCUCUCAGAUGAUAAGAUUACAACAAGGCCAGAGGUGUUUCUGUUUGCACUUUAGCCUCUCUGCUCUGCCUUCUCUGUGACCGUGAGUAUUCAUGGUGGCAUACGGCACAGCGUCAUUGGGAAAUUCAUAAGGGGGAAUCAUCACUCAUUCCUGGUUCCCCUUUGAGGACUGCGCUAAUUAGCCAGCGUCUGUGAUUAGUUGGCUUGUGUUUGAUCUGCUUCACUCCUCUCCCUCCCUGUCGAAGGGCUGCCUGCCUGCCUGCCUGCGCCGCGAUUUGGCUGCGAGGUGCGCCAAACAAACACUCAAAAACAGACACACAAAGAUGUACACAGCGCCGCUUUUUUCUCCCCCCCUCUCCUUUCCCUGCCUUUCGGAGACACUGCAGGUGGCCUCUGAGACACAGUAUCAUACACUGGCAGACAGCCACAUACGCACAAACAUGUGAGCCGCAGUACUCCAAACCAAAGCUCACAACACUUCAGUCGAAAGAGUAUAUCUGUUAAUAUUUCACUACUGCAUACCAAGAACUUUGUUUACUUUCUCUUAGCGAGUUUCAGGCUGCCAGUAAAAUUCCCCUGAAAAGCCAGGCAGUACGCCGCUUAUUAAGGCAACAGAGGGUGUGGGUGGCUAGCUGAGAAGGGGAUUUACUUAACUUAACCCCGAGUGAUUACAGCUAAAGAUGGGCGAAUUAUGAAUGUAAUUAAAUUUGUACAAAUCCCCCUUUGCUGCCCUUUUUUACGUUAGGUCUCAAUGGCAAAGCACAGUAAGGGAUACCCAUGCUGCGCUUAAUAUGACACAAAUAAAAGAAACUCUUUGGUGCAUGACAGAGCACUGUCUAAUUACACAGUGGCUGUGAUAUUGAAGGGCCCGUCUUGUCCUUGAAGCAUGGCAGGGACAUCUCUGACUGUUCAUACCCCCAUCUAUCUACUCCUCACAUCCCAAUCCUCUAUCUGUCACUCUGCCUUAAGGGGGUGGAUGGUAAACAAAGGCAGCUCACAUCCAAUGUAAUGACGACCUGACAGGAGACUGCUCCGGCAGCUCGUGUGUUGGCUGCUGUGCCUGCACCAGUGUGUCUGUGUGUGUGUUUGUUAUUGUGCUCCUCUUUACGGUCUCUGAGAAGUGGCUUCAAUCUUCUGAGAGUCAGAUCAAUUGUAGCAUCAUUGUGACUGCUGAGCCAUUACAGGCUAAAACCAGGGUUCACACUGUUAUUGAGGGGAAACUUGAUCCUCUGGUGUUCACCUCUCAGACGGGUAAAAGGUGUUUAUCCUCACUACUAAAAUCUAGCUCGGCUGCUGAGUUCUGCUCUCAAUAUAGAGCUGUAUUUAUUUAUUUUUUUAAAAUAGAUAGUAAUUAAUUAACUCAUCGCUUCCUCGUUGCGUUCUUUGAAAUUGUUUGACUGACAGGCAGCGGAGGUUUUGUUUUGAGUGGCAGUGACCUCACAGGUGCUGGAGCUGUAAUCUUGUGAGUUUCUGAGUUACUGUGCUGUUGCCUUAGCUUACACUGGGGAAUAGAUAUGAUCUUGUUCACGGUUCAUUGAAGAAUUAUGUCGUAAUGGUAAUAAUGUGUUUUAAGGGUGGAAACGAUGGCUAUUUUUGUUAUUGGUAACAAUCUGAUCUUUUUUUAGAAUGUAUAUUUGCAUUUCGGGGGAAAAACUCAGCAAAAUUUCCUAAGGGCAAUGCAUUUUUGGUGAGUCUAAAAUACCAAAAUACCCAAGUGAUGUUCUCAUAAAACUGGGACGUGCAGCAAAUACUCCCAUUUUAAAGGUAUUGGUUCAUUGUUGGGGCCUAGUAAGAAUGAAACUAAGUUUUCCAAAGCAAAUCAUUUUACAUGGAAUGAAUGUAAUAGGUUAAGACCCGUUAAAUUCAUUAGUCAAGUAAUUGCUGAAAAAGCAAUUAAGGAUGGGUGUUAUAACACACUUGUUACUAAGUGCUGGUAGUUGGUCACUUUACGCUACUUUGGACCUUUUUUAUGUGUUUAUUGCUUUAUUAGAUUACUUUGUGACAAAAAAGGGUCAAGAGGAAUCAGGAUGUUGCUACUUUAUUUAUUUCAAAGCUUUAACUGCGUCAUGAGUGUGCUAUUUGAAUCGCAUGCAUGUUUUGUCUUUUUAGUGGAAGGUCCUAGUUUUAUUCAUUUAUUUUUGCUGAAUUUUAUAGUUCCCGACUUUACUCAAAGUACCCACUUUUUAUAUAUAUUUUUUAACCUCGUGUGUUUGCUCGCUUCCAGCCAGCCACAGCUUCUCAGUGGAUUUUGUUUAAUUUUAUUUAACAGACUGACUCGAGGAGAAAUAUCAGGUUAUGUCUCCCCCCCCUCCCGUUUGAUCCGUCUCCUUGAGCUCUAUGUCUUUCUGUCUAUUAGCUCUUCAUUCAUUCAUCUAUCAGCGUCAAAACAAUACACCGUGUACUCAAGGCAAGUUGUCAUAGUGACUGGAGAAUAAGCAAAGUUGAUCUCAACGUUCAGUACAAAGGAAAGAGAUGGAGGGAGUGCCAGAAAACAACCCUGCAUAUAACCUCAUCAAAAAUCCCCACCUGUUUAUCACUCUCUUGCUCCAGAGUGCCUUUUUAUAGAUCUUACAGAGCAAAACUUCUUUCUCUUUUCCUUUCUGCUACAGUCUCAUUCCUUUCCUCAUCAUUAACACCUCCCUCACCCUCGUUUACGGGAAAACUGAUAGCAGGAAUGUAUUUGUGUGCAGUGUUUCAUCUUACCUGCCUCCUAUUGAGCCUUGAAGACAAUAGGCUGUUCACCUCUGCCCCGAUGGCUCACCACAGCCCUGAAAGACGGCAACUCUGAUCCAUACAAUGCAGCAGUAGUAACAUACAAAGAAUGGCUUUGUUGUACUUUUAAUUGCUUUGGUUAUCUUUGUCUUCUCCUCGUAUCGUUUUGUUCUGCUUUGCGACAUCUUUCGUGCUUGAUGUUUACUAAUUGUCGCAGUGUUCCCACCACACUGUAGCUCUGAUUAAUCUUUAUAGGGGGAAAAAAAAUCUGCUUUUAAUGGGUCCUCGUUUCACUUUGAAAAAGUGCUAGUGGUCUAAUCAGUUAUCCAUACCUUUGAGCGGCACAUUGCAGUCUUGUAGUAAAGCGAGUCCAAAGCUUAUUAAAUAUAACUUUUGCUCUGAUUUUUAGCAAAACUUUUGCAAGAGGAGACACACUUAAAAGCAUAUGGGGGUGUAGAAAUUUGGGAGCC